UAGGGAAUCUUCCACAAUGGACGAAAGUCUGAUGGAGCAACGCCGCGUGAGUGAAGAAGGUUUUCGGAUCGUAAAACUCUGUUAUUGGAGAAGAACGUAUUUGGUAGUAACUGGCCAGAUAGUGACGGUAUCCAAUCAGAAAGCCACGGCUAACUACGUGCCAGCAGCCGCGGUAAUACGUAGGUGGCAAGCGUUGUCCGGAUUUAUUGGGCGUAAAGCGAGUGCAGGCGGUUUUUUAAGUCUGAUGUGAAAGCCUUCGGCUUAACCGAAGAAAUGCAUUGGAAACUGGGAAACUUGAGUGCAGAAGAGGAGAGUGGAACUCCAUGUGUAGCGGUGAAAUGCGUAGAUAUAUGGAAGAACACCAGUGGCGAAGGCGGCUCUCUGGUCUGUAACUGACGCUGAGGCUCGAAAGCGUGGGUAGCAAACAGG
Molecule: ribosomal RNA, 429 nt
Filed under: uncultured bacterium
Lineage: Bacteria
Description: bacterial SSU rRNA
Rfam family: Bacterial small subunit ribosomal RNA
Source: RNAcentral